This 484-nucleotide ribosomal RNA is filed under the name uncultured bacterium. Its description in RNAcentral is "partial 16S ribosomal RNA". It matches the Rfam family "Bacterial small subunit ribosomal RNA", at positions 30 to 507 of the family's 1533-position model. The record is from RNAcentral.
AUUGAACGCUGGCGGCAGGCCUAACACAUGCAAGUCGAGCGGAUGGAGGGAGCUUGCUCCUGGAUUCAGCGGCGGACGGGUGAGUAAUGCCUAGGAAUCUGCCUGAUAGUGGGGGAUAACGUCCGGAAACGGGCGCUAAUACCGCAUACGUCCUGAGGGAGAAAGUGGGGGAUCUUCGGACCUCACGCUAUCAGAUGAGCCUAGGUGGGAUUAGCUAGUUGGUGGGGUAAAGGCCUACCAAGGCGACGAUCCGUAACUGGUCUGAGAGGAUGAUCAGUCACAUGGGAACUGGGACACGGUCCAGACUCCUAAGGGAGGCAGCAGUGGGGAACAUUGGACAAUGGGCGAAAGCCUGAUACAGCCAUGCCGCGUGUGUGAAGAAGGUCUUCGGAUUGUAAAGCACUUUAAGUUGGGAGGAAGGGCAGUAAGUUAAUACCUUGCUGUUUUGACGUUACCAACAGAAUAAGCACCGGCUAACUUCGUG